This 253-nucleotide ribosomal RNA is filed under the name uncultured bacterium. Its description in RNAcentral is "partial 16S ribosomal RNA". It matches the Rfam family "Bacterial small subunit ribosomal RNA", at positions 524 to 776 of the family's 1533-position model. The record is from RNAcentral.
GACAGAGGAGGCGAGCGUUAUCCGGAGUCAUUGGGCGUAAAGGGUACGUAGGCGGCUAGUCAAGUCUGAGGUUAAAGACCACAGCUUAACUGUGGGAAGGCCUUGGAAACUGACUGGCUAGAGUGGGGCAGGGGUUGCGGGAAUUCCCGGUGUAGCGGUGAAAUGCGUAGAUAUCGGGAAGAACACCUGAGGCGAAAGCGGGCAACUGGGCCCUGACUGACGCUGAGGUACGAAAGCUAGGGGAGCAAAUGGG